Molecule: long non-coding RNA, 11339 nt
Filed under: Vitis vinifera (wine grape)
Lineage: Eukaryota; Viridiplantae; Streptophyta; Magnoliopsida; Vitales; Vitaceae
Description: long non-coding RNA (VVIN_LNC003582)
Source: RNAcentral
CUGGAUGGUGGUGCAAUAGGAUAAAAGGCGGCUUUCUUCAAACUUCAGAUUCUUCAAGGUUAUAAUCUCAUCACCAUAAUCAUUAAUUACCACUUGGUGCUUAAUUUUGAUUUAUUGUUUGUUCUAGUCUUUCUGCAUUUCUCUUAACUUUGUUUGGUUUCUGGGAUAAUUGUAUUUGUAGAAACAGCUGAGUGCUAAACCUUUGGAGUUGAGAUCAAAAUUCAACCUUAAACUACCCUUUUUGUGCAGGGAAGAAGGUGAGAUAUGGCUUUGGAGAUUGUGUGUUUCGUUAUCCAUGUUGGGGAGAGGCUGUGGUCUUCAGCGACUGGUCCAGUGAGUAAUCUGGUGAACUAUAGGAAAAAUAUAAAGAAUCUCAAUGAUGAAGUUGAGAAGCUAGAGAUUAUCAGAAGCGAUAAUCGACUUUCAGAGAGGGCCGCCCAGAUGAAUGGAGAAGAAAUCAAAGGCGAGGUUCAGAUGUGGCUGAACAAAUCUGACGCUGUCCGCAGAGGGGUUGAGAGAUUGAAUGGUGAAGUCGACAUGAACAGGACAUGCUUCGGUGGGUGCUGUCCUGAUUGGAUAUCGCGUUACAAGUUAAGCAAGCAAGCCAAGAAAGAUGCACAUACUGUUAGGGGGCUCCAAGGGACGGGAAGAUUUGAAAGGGUUUCGCUCCCAGGACGACGGCAACUGGGAAUCGAGUCGACGCUGUCAUUUGGGGAUUUUCAGGCAUUUGAAUCGACCAAAAGGGCGAUGGAUGAGGUCAUGGUGGCCUUGAAAGAAGAUCGGGUGAAUAUUAUUGGGGUCUAUGGAAUGGGGGGUGUGGGCAAAACAACCAUGGUGAAACAGGUGGGUGCAAAUGCUCACAGAGAUGGGCUGUUUCAGCAUGUUGCAAUGGCUGUGAUAUCCCAGAAUCCGGAUUUGAGGAAAAUUCAAGCCCAAAUUGCAGAUAUGUUGAACUUGAAGCUAGAAGAGGAGAGUGAAGCUGGGAGGGCAGCAAGGUUGAGGGAGAGGAUAAUGAGAGGCAAGAGUGUUCUCAUAAUCUUAGAUGACAUAUGGAGAAGAAUUGACUUAUCUGAGAUAGGAAUUCCCAGUACUGGCAGUGACCUUGAUGCCUGCAAAUCCAAAAUCUUACUGACCACAAGGCUUGAAAAUGUGUGUCAUGUCAUGGAAAGCCAAGCAAAAGUCCCUCUGAAUAUUCUGUCUGAACAGGAUUCUUGGACCUUGUUUGGGAGGAAAGCAGGGAGAGUAGUGGAUUCUCCUGAUUUUCAUAAUGUAGCACAGAAGAUUGUCAAAGAAUGUGGAGGCCUCCCAAUUGCUCUGGUGGUUGUUGCUAGAGCAUUAGGCGAUAAGGACUUGGAUGAAUGGAAAGAAGCUGCAAGACAACUAGAAAUGUCCAAGCCAACAAACCUGGAUGAUGAUGGGGGUGUUUUCAAAUGUAUAAAACUGAGCUAUGACUAUUUGAAAGGCAAUAGCACCAAACCAUGUUUUCUGAUUUGUUGUUUGUUUCCAGAGGACACGGACAUCAGCAUCGAAGACUUGGUGAAGUACGGAUUGGGGCAAGGGCUGUUUCAAGAGGCCAACACAAUCGAAGAGGCAAGAGGCAGAGCACGUUCUGUUGUCAAGUACCUCAAGGCUUGCAGUCUGUUGUUGGACAGCACAGAGGAGGGCGGUGUGAAAAUGCAUGACGUUGUCCGCGAUAUGGCUAUACUACUCGUAUCAUCUGAAGACAAUAAUGCCUUUAUGGUGCAAUCUGGUAGCGCCUUAAAGGUGUGGCCGACAAAGGACAGCUAUGAAGCCUACACAGCCAUCUCACUCAUGUCCAACGAAAUCGAGGAGCUCCCUGAUGGGCUAGUAUGCCCCAAGCUUCAGACAUUGUUAUUACAGAAUAACAAUGAUAUACAAGAGAUCCCAGAUGACUUUUUUGGAAGCUUCCACUCCCUGAGAGUCUUAGACCUCAAUGGUGCUGACAUCCCAUCACUACCCCCUUCGCUUGGACUCCUGAGAAGCCUUAGGACGCUAUGCCUAGACUGCUGCCAGUCAAUAACAGACAUAUCCAUACUGGGGAAAUUGGAGAAACUUGAGAUUCUUAGUCUCAGAGAAUCCUACAUUGAGGAUUUGCCAGAAGAACUGGCCCAGCUGGCCAAUCUGAGGAUGCUGGAUUUCACUAUGAGUAACAACAUCAAAUCAAUUCCUCCUAAAGUGAUAUCAAGCUUGUCCAGGUUAGAAGAGAUGUACAUGCAGGGUAGCUUCGCAGACUGGGGUCUGCUGCUUGAAGGAACAUCAUCAGGAGCCAACGCCGGUUUUGAUGAGCUAACGUGCUUGCAUCGCUUAAAUAUCUUGAAGGUAGACAUCUCUGAUGCUGAGUGCAUGCCUAAAACUGUGAGGUUUGAUCCAAACUGGGUAAACUUUGAUAUAUGCAUAAGCAGGAAGCUGUUCACCCGGUUCAUGAAUGUGCAUCUGUCAAGAGUUACAGCUGCUCGAUCAAGAGCCUUGAUUCUCGAUGUCACCAUCAAUACCUUGCCAGACUGGUUCAACAAAGUGGCCACUGAAAGAACCGAGAAACUAUACUACAUAGAAUGCAGGGGUCUAGACAACAUUCUUAUGGAAUAUGAUCAAGGAAGCUUAAAUGGCCUCAAGAUCCUCCUUGUCCAGAGUUGCCAUCAGAUAGUACACCUCAUGGAUGCAGUAACAUAUGUUCCAAACAGACCUUUGUUCCCUAGCUUGGAAGAGCUGCGUGUUCACAAUCUUGACUACUUGAAAGAGAUCUGCAUUGGGCAACUUCCGCCUGGAUCGUUGGGGAACAUGAAGUUCUUGCAGGUGGAGCAGUGCAAUGAGCUGGUGAAUGGGCUGCUGCCGGCUAAUCUGUUGCGGAGACUAGAGAGUCUGGAAGUCCUUGAUGUGAGUGGGAGCUAUUUGGAAGACAUAUUUAGGACUGAAGGACUCAGGGAAGGAGAAGUUGUGGUGGGAAAGCUGAGAGAACUGAAACUGGAUAAUCUACCUGAACUGAAGAAUAUAUGGAAUGGCCCUACCCAGCUUGCAAUAUUCCACAAUCUGAAGAUUUUGACAGUGAUAAAGUGCAAGAAACUGAGGAAUCUAUUCACAUACAGUGUGGCUCAAAGUCUCAGAUAUCUGGAGGAGCUGUGGAUUGAGUAUUGCAAUGGUUUGGAGGGAGUUAUUGGGAUGCAUGAGGGUGGAGAUGUAGUGGAGAGGAUCAUUUUCCAGAACUUGAAGAACUUGUCCUUGCAAAAUCUUCCAGUGCUCAGAAGCUUUUAUGAAGGAGAUGCAAGAAUUGAAUGCCCAUCCUUGGAACAACUGCAUGUGCAGGGCUGCCCAACAUUUAGGAAUUACUCACCUUAUUUCCACAGUACAAACCAAUUCCAAGUAAACAAUGAACAACACUUGCUCCUCCUGCGAAAAAGGUAUGGUUUAGUAAUAAUGUUAGAUUUUUUUUUCCCCUAAAUUUUCUAACUUUUUUUUUCUUCUUAUUUCCUACUUUUUUUUUUUGUCAUAAGGUUGUGGGAGGAGAGAACUUUCCUAGAAGAAAAUUUAUGAAUCGGCGAGCAAAAGGGCAAAGGAGGUUGGAACCAUUAUGUUCAUCAAGCUGAUUUGGGUCCAGUAAAUACAUAUACAUAUAUACAUACAUAUAUAGGUGUGUGUAUAUAUUACAUACAUGCAUACAUACGUAUGUGUAUAUAUAUAUAUGUUUGUGUGUGUGUAUUAGCAAAUUUUCAAUUGGAUAUUUGCCAAUUAAGAAGUUGACGAUUGAAACUUGAGAUGCUUUAAUCCUUGAAGUGUUCUAUUCAUCACCCUUUUGGUUUUGAUUGCCAUCUCUAGUUACGCUUAUAGUGAACCUUCCCUUGAAAUAUGCUAUUAGACUCCAUAAUUUGCCUAAUUUUUCCAAAAGAUUUUAUGCAAAAAAAAAAAAAAAAAAAAAAAACCACGAGCUUUUAAGGUCCACAAGAACUCCAAAAAUUCAAAUAGAAAUAAACCAUAAGUCAAGCUCAAACCCAAAAGUUCUUUCAAGAAAUUAAACACAACUACAGAAGUAUACUAUUUUGCUCCCAUAAAUUCACUUAUAUAUCACAAAUAAAAGAUGCAGAUAUGUACAUGGAUCUAAAUACAAAUUUCAUUUCCAUCUUACAAAAUACACAAUCUCUUGAAAAAUCUCCAAAAUACAACCAUUCAAUAAAUUAAGAUCCCAACAUAGUAAAAAAGGGAACCUUCAUCCUUCCAAUUGGAACAUGUAUAUAUAUAUAUUUGGAUGCUAGCUCCCUUUUCUAUCAUUGGUUUUUUAACAUGAGCAACUUGCUAUCUUUCAGAAGGAUUCUUUCUACCUUGAGAAGUAUAUGGCUUUUACACAUAUGAAACAUAGCACAAUUAGGUAAUACACAUUCAUGACAUGAAUUGUAACAUAAUUUAAACAUCACAUAAUUAGAAGGGUGCAUUGUGGUUCUAAGGUUUUCAACUAAAGAUACUAGUCCAUGUCUAAUACACUCCUUAUUGAUCCAAACUUGAAAUCUCCUCUCUUCUCAAUUUGCCCUCUUUAGGAUCUUUUCAUCUCUCAUUUUUAUUUUAUUUCCGAUUCACACUGUCUUAUCAUUUUUUCAGUUUCACACAAUAUGAAUGCACUUAUAUGUACAAUGAUUUUUUUUGUCCUAAAAUAAUCUCAUAUCGAACACAUAAUAGACAUAUAUUCAUCUCAUGUAGCAAGUGAAUCAACAUAUUAAACAACUAUGAGUCAAUAAUCAACAUCUAGAGAGAAUAUUUUCAACAAUCAACAAUAUUAUAACUAUUAGAAAUACAUACAAAGAGAAGUAGCAACACAAGUCUAAAAUUUUUGAAAUAAAAGUUAAACAACUUCUCGAAUUUGGUUAAAGCAUGAUAAGGCAUGAUCCUUAAAGUAGUUCCAUGCUCCUAUGAGAUUGUGUCUUGGCACAAUAGGAUAACAAUGGACAUUCUACCUCCAGGAUGCAACAACCAAUGUUACUUGUAGAGGUACACUACUUUGUAGAGUAGAGAUGAUAGCUUUGGAUGCUUUACUCUUCCAAGGACUUGAGAAGAGUGGUAGAAGGAAAGAGAAAAACCACUUAAGGAUAGAGUAACAAAAAGAGCUCACAAGGCUUCAAAGGAGAGAAGCUUUGAGAUGGGAUGAAGAAAUACCUAGACUACAACUCUAUUUAUAAGCUCUCAAGAUUGGCUCAAAUAGGUAGAAUAUAUGAUUGGAGGCAUGAUUGAUCCAACUAAUUAGCUAAUUGAUUUCAACCAAUUGCUAAUUAAUUAAGCCAAUCGAGGAGGAAAUUGUUUUUUGUUGAGUCCAUUAAGACAUUUGUUGACCAAUAAAAAUGAAUUAAAUGAUUUCAAUCAAUGGCUAAUUAAGCCUAUUAAACAAUUGUUAAUCAAUCAAAAGUUUUACACAUACACUUUCCAACCAUUCCUCACAUUGUGCAUGAGUGGAGUAAUAAUAGAGGAUGACUGGAGGAAGCAUAUACUAGAAUCUAAUGAAUAAGAACAGAUGCCCUUGGGUUAUGAGCCAACCUUAGAAUAAGUAGGUUGUGAGCCAUAAAAAUAUGGUGAAAGUUAAAUCUGCAAUGAACCAGAAUUUCUUUAUGUGAGACAAGGAACCUAUUAUCCACAUUGGUUUCUCAAGUUAGAGUUGUCCAUAAUGUGUUGAUGUGAAUAGGCCAUAGAUCUUACUUGAAUAUUUAUGAGAGCUCUAUAGACCUUGCCUAAGUUCUCAUAGGAAAUGACCCAUUUCUAUACUCAUAUAGGUGAAUCUAUCAAGCAUAUCCUGCAAUUAUAAACACCACUAAUAAGUGAAAUGGUAUUCACUAAGAUAUGUACUCAUCUUCAAUCAUUGUAGAAUACACUCCACCUACACCUUAGUGAUGGAUUCUCAUAUAUAAGUAGUUGAUAGACUAUUUCAUAGUCAAUAAGUCACUUGCUAUUACUUACACGAACCUGCUUCCUUUGAUCUCUAUUAAUGUAAGUUGGGUUACUUAUGAGGACUCAAAUUCAACACUUCAAUGGGCUUUAUAGAACCUAUUUUAGUGUAUUUGGGAUACUUUUAUUGUUAGUGUCUAAGCAAGUUGCAUUUGAUUAUUUUUGUGUUUGUUUUGUAUGUUUUAGGUGCAAACUAGAUAUUAAAAUCAAUGGAACAAAGUAUUUUGAGCUUUAAUGGAGAUUGUGGGAGAGGUUUCAAGACUUGUGGUUGUUAAAGAAAGCAAGUUUAGAAAGAAGAAAUAGUUAAACAAGACCUUGUUCAAGCUUGCAUAAAUAAAUUGGCAAGGAAAAGGCUUGAACAACCUCGAGCAAGAAGAGUUUGACAAGGCGAAGCUCGAGUAAAGAAGGAAUCCUGCCUAGAAGAGGCUUAAGCAAGUAUGAGCAAAGUGAGCUACACUUAAGCCAACCAUGACCUUGCUUAUGUGGCCUCACAUAAUAGGCCAUAACAAGCAUGAACACCUCUAAGCAAGUUUGCCAGACCAGAUCUGUAGAACAAUUCAAGUAGCCAUGUAGCCUCACACAAAAAGCUUGAGCAAACAUGACCACCUUUAAGCAAGUUUGCUUGAGCAGAUUUAGAACAAUUCAGGUAGCCAUGUAGCCUCACACAAAAGGCCUGAUCGAAAAUGAACACGUUUAAGUAAACAUAUCUUAGCACACUUGGGUAAUUUCAAGUAACACUCAAACAUCCACAACUUUGUUUAGACAACUUUUAGCAAACAUUACCUAGUUUGAACAACCUUUAAGGGUACUUACUUCAAGGCAUAUGGCCACCUCUAGAGUUGACAUGUGGUAGCAAAGCGGUAAGAUACACCAACCCUAGGCUGCCAUGUGAUAACUAAAGUGGCAAAAAAAAAAAAAAAUCAUUAUUUUAGCUUUUCUAAGAAUGUAUCGACUUAUUUGGUUGAGUAUAAAAGGAAAAUUCUCAGAUUUCAAUAGUAGGAUUCCACUAUUACAGUAAGAGUAAAAGUAGGUUAGUGAAGCUAUUUCAUCGUAGGAGUAGUAGGUCAGAAAGGCUACCAAAGCUUAUGAUUUUGACUUUUAUCUUCAUUCUAUAAUUAAUAUUUUGAGUUUAUUUUUGUUUCAGAAUCUAAGCAUAGUUAACAUUUCUAGUUGAAUCUUCUAGUACAACCAUUAUUUCAAUUUGUAGUUUAUUAAUGAAAUGUUAAUUUUUUAUUUCUAGUUUUUAAAUUUGUAGUUUCAAUUUUUUAAUUUUUGAAUUUCUUCUAUCUUGAAAUUUCAAUUUUGUUCCAACUUAAUUUCUUGCUUUGCUUGUUUUAUUUAUUUAUUUUUUGUUUUCUUUUGUUUUGUGUGUAUGUGUGUGUGUGUUUUUUUUUCUAUGUUAUUGUUUUUCAAUUUCAAUAUCAAUAGUUGGAUUUCUUAAGACACUGAGAGAGUGAGGGAAGAUGAGGUAAAUCAUACAGUAUUUUAGUCCUUUAAUGUCCUAAACUGAUUGUGUUGAGGUUAUGGGAAUUCUAGAAAAGGCAUGCGUUUGCUGACUAGUUGUGAGGGCUAAAAGACAAGCAACCUUGGGAGUGGAUUUCAAUUGUGUUGAUAUGGGUUCACUUGAGCUAAACGCUAUCAUUUCAUUUUGGAUUCAUUAUAUGAACCUAAUGCCAAAAACACUGGUUUAGUAAUAUAUUUCCCCUCAACCUUAGGUCAAAAGCAUCUAGUUUAGGAGAAUGAUUUAAGCUAAGGGUGAUUUCCUUUAUGGAUCUUUGCCUUUGGUGUUUGAUUGUUUUCAUAUGUUGAUUUUGGAAAAUUUUAUUAUUUAUUUUUCAAUUUCCCUUUAUCUUUGUUAAGUUUCCUAAGUUGUCUCCACUUGCAAAGCCAUUCACUUUGAAUAACCCAUUUUUUAUAUCUCUCUGAUUGAAAUCAUUGGAUCCUUGUGGGUUGGACCCCAUACUCAUUGGGUCGGGUACUAUUUUGAAGGUUCUUAAGCUCAGUAACACCCACAAAAAUAAAAAUUUUAGUGGGUUUUAAAAGCUCUAAGGUUGUAAUCUUCUUUAAUAAUAGUGGAAGUUUUGUUUUUGUCUUCACCCAUGGAUGUAAACUUUAAGCUGAAAUAUGUAAAUCGUCAUGUGUUUUUUAUUUUUGUAUUCUUAUUUCUCUUUCUUUGUUAUUAUUCUUGGUCAUGGUUUUUCACAACAAACUGGUAUCAAAAUACAUGUUAUUAAACUUGAAAUGACAAUAGAGUUUGAGCUUGAGAAGUUAUUUAAAUUUAUGGUACGUUAAGAUGCGUGCCUUAUUGGUUUAAUUAUGAUUGUCCAAAACAUUGAAGGGUAGAGAGACCCUAUUAACAAUGAUGUAUGAUGAAGAGAAAGAUGAAUUUAUGAAGAAAACAUAUAAUGCUAUCCUGUUGUAGAAGAGGAUAGAAUUGCCAAGUUAUGGUUGAAGUUAAAAAGUCUACAUAUGACGAAAUCUUUUUCAAAUCGCUUGUAUUUGAAGAAGUUAUCCACUCUUUAAAUGAAAGAAGAUACAUCUAUUAAAGACCACAUUGAUAAAUUUAAUAAAACUAUCACGAAUUUGAUGUUAAAAUUAAUGAUGAAGAUCAAACCAUAAUUUUAAUGUAUUUCUUAUUGAAUUCUUAUAAGCACUUUAUGAAUACUAUGAUAUAUGGUAGAGAUACUCUCUUUAUAGAGGAUGUUAGAUUAACCUUGAAUUCAAAGGAGUUGAAGAAGAGGGUUUUUUGAUAGUAGAAAAGAAAACUCGGGUGAAGGUUUGGUGAUUAGAGGGAGAAAAAGAAACGUUAUUAGAAAUAUUUCCAUAAACAUUUUAGAUAGUGAAGGGAAAAGGUUAUGACAUGAAGAUGAGUUUGUAAAGAUUACACGAAAUGGAUAAAUAUGAGAGAAAGAAUGAGAGACAUAUGAUAAAACAAAGGGAUGUAUAGUUGCGGAUGUAAAUACAAAGAGUGGGAAAAUAUGUAAUGUUUCGAGAAUCUGAUAGCUGCAUAUGAUUUUUGUCAUAUGUAAUAUUCUCUAUGGUAUAACAAAAAGAUUCAUUCUCAUCCGUAGAUAUAUGUAUGGUUAGUCAAACAACGUUAAAACCUCAUGUACUUUUGUAUGAAUUAUUUUAUCUUUAUAUUUCUAAACUAAUAUUAUUUGCAUUAAAACCUCUAGGGGCAACAAUUUAGUAUUAAAACAAGUUUUUUAGUUGUAAUUUUUGUACAAAAAUUGUAUCAGCUCAAUUUUAGCUCAAACUGAAAGAAUCAAAAUAAACUAAGAAGAAUUAAUGUUGAGUCAUAUUGGAGUUUAGGUGAAUAAACAAAUUAGUUGAAUUUACUUAAAUUUGACCAGCUCAUUCGGUUCUUGGUGGAUUGAUUAAAAACCAACCAAAAUCGUAGAGUGUCAACUUUUAUUAAUCAUAGAGUUAUUAGAGACUACCAUGCUUUGUAUGCGUGGAAGGAAUCAAUAUUUUUUGCUUUGACUGGACAUCAAAUAAAACAUAAAACAUAAAAACUAACAUAGGGCCUAUUUGGUAACUAUUUUUGAAAAUAGUUUUGAAAAAUAGUUUUUGAAAAAAGUUUUGAAAAUUGUUUUAUGAUAUUUUGUAGAACAAAAAAUUGUUUAGAAAUUUAAAAUAUUUUUAACUUGUUUUAAAUUUUUUAAAAUAAUUUUUAUUUGUAGUGCUUUCAUCCUUAAUGUUUGUACAAUUAUUUUUUAAAACAAUUAUCAUAAAAUAAGUGAAAAUAACUAAAAUAUGUUAUCUGAAAAUACCAAAUUUUCUAUUUUAAAAGACACAACAUAGAGAACAGUUUUUGGUUACUAUAACAUGUUUUCUAGGUUUUUUGUUUUGAAGAAUAAAAAACUGUUACCAAACAAGGUCAUAAUAUCUUGUUUGAUUUAUCAAGAAAAGCUUAGACAAAAAUCAAAUCAAAUAAAAGUAAUUUAAAAAUUCAUAUAUUUUUAAAUUAUACAUUACCUAAAUAAAAAAAAAAAAGAGAAAAAAAUUGGAAAAAUAUAGAAUAAAGAUUUAUUGGGUUUAAACUGACAUAUCAGUUUCCCUCAUCUUUCUUAAAUUUUCUAAUAUCCAAAUGGAAUACAAAUGAAAUCCAUUGAUGAGAGAAUGACAUGACUCUAGGCAACUAAAAGAAUGCUACUUAGACUGUGUUUAAAACCUUUUAGAAUUACUUUUAUGGACAAUUUGUGGAUACUGAAAAGUUGUAAGUAUUUUUGGAAGGAAAUAACUUCAAAGCAGUUUUUUUAUUUUUAUUUUUUUACGAAAGUUAAACGUUAAAAAUCUAAAGAAUGAUUUAAAAUAACUUUUGAACUAAUGUUUGGCAAGUGAUUUUUCCUUUUUAUUUUAUUUUAUUUAUUUUGGGAUUCCAUUACAUAAUGGAAGUGCUUUGAAAACAUUUUUUAUUGCAAGUGUUAGGAGCUAAAUGUACUGUCACAAGAAUCACUCCCAAGUCCAAUAGACCUCAUUGAUCUAAUGUAUGAUUUUUCAGAAUGGAGAAAUGAUGAAUACCUUGGAUCAGAAUUCCAUUUCUGCGAAUUUGAAAGGCAACCCUAAUUAGUAGCCAACAAAGGCUGAGCCAAUCCAUUGAAACAAUCAGCAGUAGUCUCUUGCUCAUCAGCUUCUCUCUGCUCUCAGCCAUUGACGGAAUGGAAGCUUGUCCUUAACCUUACUGUCUUCAAUUUAGUUGGGUUGCUAUGCCUCCAAUGGGAAAGCUUCACGGAAAGGUCUUUUCACAUGGCUCUUCUUUUGACCAACCGCCUUUUCAAAACUGCAAAAAAUUUCGCCCAUCUUUACUUCAGUACAUGGUCCAUAUAUGACAAAGAAUAUACAAGGCUCCAUUAUUGGCUACAGAGUGGAGACCCCAAUCAUCGCGUCAAGUUGCUCUCGAGUAAAACAAUGACAGCCCAUUUGUCGCUGGAUUCCAUGUGUGGAGAGUUUGAACCCAUUCCACCCUCCAUGUGAUAGCCACCAACCCUACUAGAAAGUUAUCGUCAAGAGACAGUGAACUGGAGCUGGACGGUGGUGCAAUAGGAUAAAAGGCGGCUUUCUUCAAACUUCAGAUUCUUCAAGGUUAUAAUCUCAUCACCAUAAUCAUUAAUUACCACUUGGCGCUUAAUUUUGAUUUAUUGUUUGUUCUAGUCUUUCUGUAUUUCUCUUAAUUUUGUUUGGUGUCUGGGAUAAUUGUAUUUGUAGAAACAGCUGAGCGCUAAACCUUUGGAGUUGAGAUCAAAAUUCAACCUUAAACUACCCUUUUUGUGGAGGGAAGAAGGUGAGAUAUGGCUUUGGAGAUUGCGAGUUUCGUUAUCCAGGUUGGGGAGAGGCUGUGGUCUUCAGCGACUGGUCCAGUGAGUAAUCUGGUGAACUAUAGGAAAAAUAUAAAGAAUCUC